GAAGGUGGGGAUGACGUCAAAUCAUCAUGCCCCUUAUGAUUUGGGCUACACACGUGCUACAAUGGACAAUACAAAGGGCAGCGAAACCGCGAGGUCAAGCAAAUCCCAUAAAGUUGUUCUCAGUUCGGAUUGUAGUCUGCAACUCGACUACAUGAAGCUGGAAUCGCUAGUAAUCGUAGAUCAGCAUGCUACGGUGAAUACGUUCCCGGGUCUUGUACACACCGCCCGUCACACCACGAGAGUUUGUAACACCCGAAGCCGGUGGAGUAACCAUUUUGGAGCUAGCCGUCGAAGGUGGGACAAAUGAUUGGGGUGAAGUCGUAACAAGGUAGCCGUAUCGGAAGGUGCGGCUGGAUCACCUCCUUUCUAA
This 370-nucleotide ribosomal RNA is filed under the name Staphylococcus pseudintermedius. RNAcentral describes it as "bacterial SSU rRNA". It matches the Rfam family "Bacterial small subunit ribosomal RNA", at positions 1169 to 1533 of the family's 1533-position model. The record is from RNAcentral. Lineage: Bacteria; Bacillati; Bacillota; Bacilli; Caryophanales; Staphylococcaceae.